AUUGAACGCUGGCGGCAGGCCUAACACAUGCAAGUCGAACGGUAACAGGAAGCAUCUUGCUGCUUCGCUGACGAGUGGCGGACGGGUGAGUAAUGUCUGGGAAGCUGCCUGAUGGAGGGGGAUAACUACUGGAAACGGUAGCUAAUACCGCAGAAUGUCUCAAGCCCAAAGAGGGGGACCUUCGGUCCUCUUGCCAUCGGAUGUGCCCAGAUGGGAUUAGCUUGUGGGUGGGGUAACGGCUCACCAAGUCGACGAUCCCGAGCUGGUCUGAGAGGAUGACCAGCCACACUGGAAGUGAGCCACGGUCCAGACUACUACGGGAGGCAUCAGUGGGGAAUAUUGCACAAUGGGCGCAAGCCUGGUGCAGCCAUGGCGAGUGUAUGAAGAAGGCCUUCGGGUUGUAAAGUACUUUCAGCGGGGAGGAAGGGAGUAAAGUUAAUACCUUUGCUCAUUGACGUUACCCGCAGAAGAAGCACCGGCUAACUCCGUG
RNAcentral lists this ribosomal RNA (490 nucleotides) under uncultured bacterium. RNAcentral's name for it is "partial 16S ribosomal RNA". It matches the Rfam family "Bacterial small subunit ribosomal RNA", at positions 30 to 507 of the family's 1533-position model. The record is from RNAcentral.